AAGCGGCGGACGGGUGAGUAACGCGUGGGUAACCUACCCUGUACACACGGAUAACAUACCGAAAGGUAUGCUAAUACGGGAUAAUAUAUUUGAGAGGCAUCUCUUGAAUAUCAAAGGUGGGCCAGUACAGGAUGGACCCGCGUCUGAUUAGCUAGUUGGUAAGGUAACGGCUUACCAAGGCGACGAUCGGUAGCCGACCUGAGAGGGUGAUCGGCCACAUUGGAACUGAGACACGGUCCAA
This 241-nucleotide ribosomal RNA is filed under the name uncultured bacterium. RNAcentral's name for it is "partial 16S ribosomal RNA". It matches the Rfam family "Bacterial small subunit ribosomal RNA", at positions 93 to 334 of the family's 1533-position model. The record is from RNAcentral.